GAUGAACGCUGGCGGCGUGCCUAAUACAUGCAAGUCGAGCGAACAGACGAGGAGCUUGCUCCUCUGACGUUAGCGGCGGACGGGUGAGUAACACGUGGAUAACCUACCUAUAAGACUGGGAUAACUUCGGGAAACCGGAGCUAAUACCGGAUAAUAUAUUGAACCGCAUGGUUCAAUAGUGAAAGACGGUUUUGCUGUCACUUAUAGAUGGAUCCGCGCCGCAUUAGCUAGUUGGUAAGGUAACGGCUUACCAAGGCAACGAUGCGUAGCCGACCUGAGAGGGUGAUCGGCCACACUGGAACUGAGACACGGUCUAGACUCCUACGGGAGGCAGCAGUAGGGAAUCUUCCGCAAAGGGCGAAAGCCUGACGGAGCAACGCCGCGUGAGUGAUGAAGGUCUUCGGAUCGUAAAACUCUGUUAUUAGGGAAGAACAAAUGUGUAAGUAACUAUGCACGUCUUGACGGUACCUAAUCAGAAAGCCACGGCUAACUACGUG
RNAcentral lists this ribosomal RNA (497 nucleotides) under uncultured bacterium. RNAcentral describes it as "partial 16S ribosomal RNA". It matches the Rfam family "Bacterial small subunit ribosomal RNA", at positions 28 to 507 of the family's 1533-position model. The record is from RNAcentral.